This 556-nucleotide ribosomal RNA is filed under the name uncultured fungus. Its description in RNAcentral is "SSU rRNA". It matches the Rfam family "Eukaryotic small subunit ribosomal RNA", at positions 194 to 755 of the family's 1831-position model. The record is from RNAcentral. Lineage: Eukaryota; Fungi.
GGAAGGGAUGUAUUUAUUAGAUAAAAAACCAACGCCCUUCGGGGCUUUUUGGUGAUUCAUGAUAACUUUACGGAUCGCAUAGCCUUGCGCUGGCGACGGUUCAUUCAAAUUUCUGCCCUAUCAACUUUCGAUGGUAAGGUAUUGGCUUACCAUGGUUUCAACGGGUAACGGGGAAUUAGGGUUCGAUUCCGGAGAGGGAGCCUGAGAAACGGCUACCCCAUCCAAGGAAGGCAGCAGGCGCGCAAAUUACCCAAUCCCGACACGGGGAGGUAGUGACAAUAAAUACUGAUACAGGGCUCUUUUGGGUCUUGUAAUUGGAAUGAGUACAAUUUAAACCUCUUAACGAGGAACAAUUGGAGGGCAAGUCUGGUGCCAGCAGCCGCGGUAAUUCCAGCUCCAAUAGCGUAUAUUAAAGUUGUUGCAGUUAAAAAGCUCGUAGUUGAAACUUGGGCCUGGCUGGCGGGUCCGCCUCACCGCGUGCACUCGUCCGGCCGGGCCUUCCUUCUGAAGAACCUCAUGCCCUUCACUGGGCGUGCUGGGGAACCAGGACUUUUAC